GUUUUAAACCCCUGAUUUACACCUUACAGAUGUUUGAUGCUUGAAUCUUUCUCCCCACCCUCGUCCCUGUCCAUGAACGGGUCAUUGGUGCAGUAGACCUGCUAAGGGACCCUGUGUGGAUUGACUGUGGGCUGUGGACAUAUCACUUCCUACCAGAGAUGAGGGGAACAGCUUGAGUCUGACGUCAGAGAGCGGGAAAGACCUAGAGACCUGUCUCUAGCUGGACCUCCAUAUCACAUACUACCGUCCUUAUUCCCCUUCCCCCACACCACCAUCACUGGCAUCUGUUUCUACCACCACCUCCACUCACUGGGAAGGAUUUGGGAUGACAGUUAACCUCCUCAGCUCUAUCUCACUCCUCCUCACCACCCAGGGAUAACCAGCACUAGAACCUCUGUACCCUGAGAGGCACACUACCACCCUCCCUCACCUCCCCCCAGCUGGCAUCAUGAUGGGAGAUGGAGUUGGGAACUGGGAGUGUCUGAGUCCGUCUGAGUUUGGUCAGCUGCAGCAAUACAGCGAGUAUUCCACCAAGAAGCUCAAGGAUGUUCUGGAGGAGUUUCACGGUGAAGGAGUCCUCUCCAAGUACAAUCCUGAGCAGCCCAUAGACUAUGAGGGUUUCCAGCUCUUCAUGACCACAUACCUGGAGAACGACAUCCCUGAGGAACUGUGUCAGCACCUGUUCACCUCCUUCAAGAGCAAGACAGGGGGCUGCUCUCCUGAGGUGCCCCGUUCAUUACUUCCACUCCACCUGGACAGCUUUCCGUCACCCCAGAAGGGCUCCCCCUUACCCUCCCCCCAGGUGGUGUUUCUGAAGGACAUUGUGUGUUACCUGUCCCUGCUGGAGAGGGGCACACCAGAGGACAAGCUGGAAUUCAUGUUCCGGCUGUACGACACAGAUGGCAAUGGAGUACUGGACAGCUCGGAACUGGACCGCAUCAUCAAUCAGAUGGUCCACGUGGCAGAGUACCUGGAAUGGGACUCUACAGAGCUGCGACCAAUCCUGAAGGAGAUGAUGGAAGAGAUAGACUAUGACCGAGACGGAACAGUCACUCUGGAGGAGUGGAUCAGAGGAGGCCUCACCACCAUCCCUCUGCUGGUCCUGCUGGGUAUGGAGACGAAUGUGCAGGAGGAUGGGCAGCAUGUGUGGAAACUAAAGCACUUCAACAAGCCAGCCUACUGUAAUUUCUGCCAAACCAUGCUGUUGGGAGUCCGCAAGCAGGGCCUCUGCUGCUCUAUAUGCAAGUACACAGUCCAUGAACGCUGUGUAUCCAAAGACAUCGCUGCCUGCAUCAGCACCUACGCCAAGUCCCGCAGACACACUAAUGCUAUGCAGCACGUGUGGAUGGAGGGAAACUCUCCCACUAAGUGCGACCGCUGUCACAGAAGUAUCAAGUGCUACCAGGGCUUAACGGGCCUACACUGUGUGUGGUGUCAGAUCACUCUCCAUAAUAAGUGUGCGUCCAACAUGAAACCGGAGUGUGAUGGAGGAGCCCUUAGAGACCACACUCUACUCCCAUCCUACAUCUGCCCUGUAGUCCUGGUGAGAUCACACGCCGUAAAUCACACUCUGAAUCUCGAAAUUCAAAGCUUCAAAUUCACAGGAGACGGACAAGCACUGCAGAUCACUCCUCUCCCAGGCACACAUCCCCUCCUGGUCCUGGUCAACCCAAAGAGUGGCGGGAGACAAGGGGAGCGGGUAUUGAGAAAGUUCCAGUACCUGCUGAACCCCAGACAGGUGUACAGUCUAGACCGAGAGGGACCCAUGGUGGGGCUCAACUUCUUCCAUGAUGUCCCUGAUUUCCGGGUGCUGGCGUGUGGAGGGGAUGGGACAGUGGGAUGGAUCUUAGACUGUAUUGACAAGGCCAACUUCACCAGAGAUCCCCCUGUGGCCAUCCUCCCUCUGGGCACAGGGAACGACCUGGCAAGAUGCCUACGCUGGGGUGGAGGUUAUGAAGGAGGCAGUCUUCUGAAGUUCCUGCGGGACAUAGAGCACAGCACAGAGAUGGUUCUGGACCGAUGGAACAUCGACAUCGUCCCUGUUGACAAGGAGGAGAAGGGAGACCCUGUCCCCAACAGCAUCGUCAACAACUACUUCUCCAUCGGAGUGGAUGCGUCCAUCGCUCAUCGCUUCCACUUGAUGAGAGAGAAGCACCCAGAGAAAUUCAACAAGACCAUCUCUGCCACGUGCAAGAAACUCAACGAGUGUAUCGAAGUGGAGUGUGAUGGUAUCAUCCUGGACCUCAGCAGCACGUCGUUGGAAGGCAUCGCCGUCCUCAACAUACCCAGCAUGCAUGGCGGCUCCAACCUGUGGGGCGAGACCAAGAAGAGGAGGAACUACAGCCGCAUGAGCAAGAAGGUUCCGGACAGGAUGCCCGCCAGUACCGUCACCGAUAUAAAGGAGCUCAAAUUCUGUGUUCAGGACCUGAGUGACCAGUUGCUAGAGGUGGUGGGUCUGGAGGGGGCCAUGGAGAUGGGGAAGAUCUACUCAGGCCUGAAGAGUGCUGGCCGUAGACUGGCCCAGUGUGCUAACGUCACCAUCAGGACAUCCCGGCUGCUGCCCAUGCAGAUCGAUGGGGAGCCUUGGAUGCAGCCCCCAUGCACGAUCAAGAUCACACAUAAGAACCAGGUUCCCAUGCUACUGGGCCCUCCUCAGAAGACCCCCUUCUUGUUCUUCAAGAGACGCAACAGAAGUCGGGACUAUGAGUGAGGAGGACACUUCAAACUCCCCCCUCUUCACAAACACAUUCACCAACCUCUUGGGACAACUCAAUAGGUCCCACAGACCAAGUCAUUGCCCCUUGGACCUACAGUACCACUUCAGAAUGAACUGACUUCCUCUCAGUGUAAUGACCACUUCCUGUGUAUCCAUGUUCUAGCUUCUAGAACUUCCUGUGAACUCUGAACUCUGACCCUGCCACUGGCACACUAGCUCAGUCAACCCCAGCUCCAGACUCAGCU
Long non-coding RNA from Salmo trutta (river trout), 2961 nucleotides. NCBI's taxonomy places the organism in Eukaryota, Metazoa, Chordata, Actinopteri, Salmoniformes, Salmonidae. The record is from Ensembl.